This 1482-nucleotide ribosomal RNA is filed under the name Enterococcus durans. RNAcentral's name for it is "bacterial SSU rRNA". It matches the Rfam family "Bacterial small subunit ribosomal RNA". The record is from RNAcentral. Lineage: Bacteria; Bacillati; Bacillota; Bacilli; Lactobacillales; Enterococcaceae.
GACGAACGCUGGCGGCGUGCCUAAUACAUGCAAGUCGUACGCUUCUUUUUCCACCGGAGCUUGCUCCACCGGAAAAAGAAGAGUGGCGAACGGGUGAGUAACACGUGGGUAACCUACCCAUCAGAAGGGGAUAACACUUGGAAACAGGUGCUAAUACCGUAUAACAAUCGAAACCGCAUGGUUUUGAUUUGAAAGGCGCUUUCGGGUGUCGCUGAUGGAUGGACCCGCGGUGCAUUAGCUAGUUGGUGAGGUAACGGCUCACCAAGGCUACGAUGCAUAGCCGACCUGAGAGGGUGAUCGGCCACAUUGGGACUGAGACACGGCCCAAACUCCUACGGGAGGCAGCAGUAGGGAAUCUUCGGCAAUGGACGAAAGUCUGACCGAGCAACGCCGCGUGAGUGAAGAAGGUUUUCGGAUCGUAAAACUCUGUUGUUAGAGAAGAACAAGGAUGAGAGUAACUGUUCAUCCCUUGACGGUAUCUAACCAGAAAGCCACGGCUAACUACGUGCCAGCAGCCGCGGUAAUACGUAGGUGGCAAGCGUUGUCCGGAUUUAUUGGGCGUAAAGCGAGCGCAGGCGGUUUCUUAAGUCUGAUGUGAAAGCCCCCGGCUCAACCGGGGAGGGUCAUUGGAAACUGGGAGACUUGAGUGCAGAAGAGGAGAGUGGAAUUCCAUGUGUAGCGGUGAAAUGCGUAGAUAUAUGGAGGAACACCAGUGGCGAAGGCGGCUCUCUGGUCUGUAACUGACGCUGAGGCUCGAAAGCGUGGGGAGCAAACAGGAUUAGAUACCCUGGUAGUCCACGCCGUAAACGAUGAGUGCUAAGUGUUGGAGGGUUUCCGCCCUUCAGUGCUGCAGCUAACGCAUUAAGCACUCCGCCUGGGGAGUACGACCGCAAGGUUGAAACUCAAAGGAAUUGACGGGGGCCCGCACAAGCGGUGGAGCAUGUGGUUUAAUUCGAAGCAACGCGAAGAACCUUACCAGGUCUUGACAUCCUUUGACCACUCUAGAGAUAGAGCUUCCCCUUCGGGGGCAAAGUGACAGGUGGUGCAUGGUUGUCGUCAGCUCGUGUCGUGAGAUGUUGGGUUAAGUCCCGCAACGAGCGCAACCCUUAUUGUUAGUUGCCAUCAUUCGGUUGGGCACUCUAGCAAGACUGCCGGUGACAAACCGGAGGAAGGUGGGGAUGACGUCAAAUCAUCAUGCCCCUUAUGACCUGGGCUACACACGUGCUACAAUGGGAAGUACAACGAGUCGCGAAGUCGCGAGGCUAAGCUAAUCUCUUAAAGCUUCUCUCAGUUCGGAUUGUAGGCUGCAACUCGCCUACAUGAAGCCGGAAUCGCUAGUAAUCGCGGAUCAGCACGCCGCGGUGAAUACGUUCCCGGGCCUUGUACACACCGCCCGUCACACCACGAGAGUUUGUAACACCCGAAGUCGGUGAGGUAACCUUUUGGAGCCAGCCGCCUAAGGUGGGAUAGAUGAUUGGGGUG